UUGACCUUUGUCACCAUUUUUUGCUGUUUUUUUUUUAUCCUUUAACUCCAUAACAGCCAGUCAUAGGUAGUCCAACCUAUACCUUUAUGGAAUCCUUAUGAUCAGACAAAUAAUGUGGAAUACCUUUCAAUAUGAUUGGAGCAU
Long non-coding RNA from Thalassophryne amazonica, 144 nucleotides. RefSeq lists it as uncharacterized. The record is from RefSeq and is a predicted model, not a curated record. NCBI's taxonomy places the organism in Eukaryota, Metazoa, Chordata, Actinopteri, Batrachoidiformes, Batrachoididae. The transcript is spliced from 3 exons.